Molecule: long non-coding RNA, 224 nt
Filed under: Setaria italica (foxtail millet)
Lineage: Eukaryota; Viridiplantae; Streptophyta; Magnoliopsida; Poales; Poaceae
Description: long non-coding RNA (SITA_LNC005941)
Source: RNAcentral
GAGAAGUUAAUUAAUGGCUCAACCGAAUCUCGAUCACUUCACAUCUCAGAUCAAGAAAGCUAAUGGCUCAACCGGAUCAAGAAAGCGUGAGAUAGAUCGAGGAGGAUCUAUGUCAAGGAGAGGCGCGUGAGGAGGACCUGUUGUUUUGCCGCCCUUCUCUUCCUUUUCCCAUGCGGUCCUUCUCUCCCCCUUGCAGUUCCUUCUCUUCCCCCCGAAAAUCCUUC